GCAAAACCGUUGAGAAAGAGGAGUAAGCUUUAAAAGAAAUCACAGAGAGCGGCAGGUGGUGAGAUUGCCGUAUGGAUUUUUCUGCUGAAUGGACUUUCGAGGGCAGUCCGAAAUGAAAAGAGUAGGCGCUGCCGGGAACCGAACCCGUUAUCAAUCAGGAGCGUAUGUUAGUACGUGAGAAAGUGGGCGAACUGCCAAAUUGAGUGGUACCGCGAUAAUAAAGAUUUUUAUUACCGUCUCAAGU
RNAcentral lists this non-coding RNA (244 nucleotides) under Blautia sp. RNAcentral describes it as "T-box sequence". It matches the Rfam family "T-box leader". Rfam says of the family: Uncharged tRNA acts as the effector for transcription antitermination of genes in the T-box leader family. T-boxes are found upstream of many aminoacyl-tRNA synthetase genes and some amino acid biosynthetic genes usually in Gram-positive bacteria. Lineage: Bacteria; Bacillati; Bacillota; Clostridia; Lachnospirales; Lachnospiraceae. The record is from RNAcentral.